Molecule: long non-coding RNA, 282 nt
Organism: Mastomys coucha (southern multimammate mouse)
Lineage: Eukaryota; Metazoa; Chordata; Mammalia; Rodentia; Muridae
Exons: 2
Source: RefSeq, a predicted model, not a curated record
UUAAAGUAAAAGAACAGCUUGAAAAGACAGCACAAGCCUCCUGAGCCAAUCAGGGAAGAUAGAAGGCCUACGUACUGAAAGUGAUUAGUUAUGUACCACCAUAAACAGCAAAGACAGAGGAAGAUAAUGAUGGAUCACUCUGGAGACACCUGCAACAUCAGAACCAAAAGUAUUUCGAAUGAAGACCUAUUUGAUUGCCGAGGAAGGGGCAAGCUGGGAGAAGGGAAGUACCAGGUUCACAGGGCAGCAGGUCAGAGCAGCUGCGUCCAGUUUUUACACUUA